Molecule: long non-coding RNA, 596 nt
Organism: Aplysia californica (California sea hare)
Lineage: Eukaryota; Metazoa; Mollusca; Gastropoda; Aplysiida; Aplysiidae
Exons: 2
Source: RefSeq, a predicted model, not a curated record
UCUCGUGUCGAGGUUGUGGGAAAGAUGCAAAUAGAGGAAAUCCUGAGGACCUCAGCAGCGGCAUCCCCCGCGGCCUAAGCCUGAGAGUGAACCUGAUGGCUGACGGGAGACGUCGCUAAACGCGGAGCCUCAUAAACUUGAAGUCGUUACAGGAUUGGCUAGAUUGGCGCCGAGGUUUUUCUCGGAGUUUUUCCAAACCGGUUCGCUGACGGCGUCCUACGGGUUUGUGUCACGUAUACAAAGUUUUGAACUCACGACGUACAUGAGUUGCUUUUAGUCGAGGGGCGUGAUCGGGACACGGACGACGGCGGACGGCUGACUGACUGACCAAACAGAAAUUUCGUAAUUUCGGGAGGAAAGCUGGAUAACACUUGGUUAACGCAAAGGUCGAAAUCGUAAAAGAAGCGGAGCGUGUGGCCGAAUCCAGAGUGCAGUAAUCACAGAGCUGGUGGUAGCGAGUGCUAUUUCUCUACACAGGCUGUGACUCGCUGACUCAUUCUUUGUAUCAUAACUUAUCAGAUUCGUGAACAAGUAAAAAGCCAUUCCCCUAUUGUAUGUUUUAGCUCAACCCCCCCCCCCCCCCCAAAAAAAAAAAA